Molecule: long non-coding RNA, 538 nt
Organism: Armigeres subalbatus
Lineage: Eukaryota; Metazoa; Arthropoda; Insecta; Diptera; Culicidae
Exons: 3
Source: RefSeq, a predicted model, not a curated record
CUUCCGAAUAUUUACCCAAUAAUGGGUGAAAAUAUACUUCUUGUAAUUAAAACAUUCUGCAGUUGAAGUGGAAGCGGCACCGACAAUGACGUUGGAAUGAGUAAAUCAUUUGUUUUGCACCUCAUACACUGCUUAUAGUGAAGGCCCCUCAAGUGUCCGGCAAAUUCUUGGGCAAAUUGCUAUUUCCUGUGCCAUGAUCUACCCGGCUGCUAACGGGGCAUUUUAUGUGGCACCUUGUUCGCUGGACUCAGCACCGAUGACGCUGAAUCGAAGCAGUUCCGGCGACUGAUGGCAUGAUGGGUCUCGUUUCACAAAGGCAUCUCGGAUGGCGUCUCGAAAGGCUCCAAUCAGAGCCAGCGAAUCUUUAUUCUGGCCGGAUUUGGUUGGUCCGGCUGUGACCCGACCGAUUCGCACGGAUUUUGGCACCUCGUUUUCCCACACGGCCCGCCACCUCAGUAAAGGACAAGGAACAAAGUGUCCAUUCGCUGGAUCAGCUACAAUACACGUUUAAUUUAAAUCGAGAAUCAUUUGAGUAGCU